RNAcentral lists this long non-coding RNA (2360 nucleotides) under Helianthus annuus (common sunflower). RNAcentral's name for it is "hypothetical non coding rna". Lineage: Eukaryota; Viridiplantae; Streptophyta; Magnoliopsida; Asterales; Asteraceae. The record is from RNAcentral.
UUUGGAUUGGGGUGAAUACGAACGAAAUAGAUGAGAUGGUGAGGUUAAUCGGGUGUAAAGCGGAAGUGUUCCCAUUCAAGUACUUAGGAUUGACGGUUGGGGCGAAUAUGAAUCGGAUAGCGAAUUGGAGGCCGGUGUAUGGUAUCUUCGAGAAGCGGUUGUCGUUAUGGAAAGCUUCGUUUCUUUCUAUAGGUGGAAGAGUCACGUUGAUUCGUUCUGUUCUCGAGAGCCUCCCAACGUACUUCUUUUCGCUUUACCGUGCUCCGGCCAAAGUUGUGGAGGAUUUAGAAGGUAUUAUCAGAAAAUUUCUUUAGGGAGGUACGUCUUCUGUCAAAAAACUUCAUUGGGUUGCUUGGGAUAGGGUGGCGUCCCCGAAAAAAAUGGGAGGUAUUGGUAUUCGUAACCUUAAAGAGGUUAACAUUGCCUUGCUUUCUAAGUGGGGUUGGAGGUUUAAGACGGAGAAGGACAAUCUUUGGGUCAAAGUGAUAAGUGCCAUUCAUUCGGGUGGUUCCAAUUGUGUAACACCCCGAAUUACGUAUGUCGCAAAAUAAUAUUAAAAUUUUAUUGUUUAGAUAAUAAGACGUGGUAAAUAUAGAUUUACUUUACCAUUUUCUAAGUUUUUACAAGUUAUGGAAAAUCUAAAACUUAUGUGCACAUAAAGUUAAUCAAGUUAGUAUGUAAAAAUGAAAGAAAUGACAUGUCCUAAAAGUAUGAGGGGUUAAUAGUGAAAAUGUUAUAAAUUAAACAUGGAACAAAAAAUUAGUCAGUGUUUUGUUGUGGGGUGCGAUCGAGAGAAAGGGGGAAGAGAAGAACAAAAACCCUAGCAUCACAAAUCCUUCAAAUUGAAAAGGGAAACUGGCUCAAAUCGAAUGCAUGGACCUAGAUUCUUGAUCAUCUAGACUUUCUACACAUGAUGUAAGUUGUAGAAGUUAAUUUUAUGAUUUGGUAUGAAGUGAGACUAUGAUCAAUCCACGAAAUUUACUGAAAUUAAGUAUGAAUAUAUGUUAGAAUUAUCAUUGGAAAUGUGAAUUAUACAAGAUUUGAUGCUAAUUGAGGUUUGGAGAUGAAACCUACUUGAAUUAGUAGAAAUGGCGACAUGGGUAUGUAACCCAUGUCCAACCUUUGUUUGAUUCUUGAUAUGAUGUGUUGCAUGUGACCAAAUUGUUAGUUAUAUUGAACAUGGCAUGAAAUUGAAUUGUUAUUGGUAUUUUGGAUGAUUGAAAACAAGAACUAGGAAGAAAAGAAUGAAGGUUACUUGUACAUUAUGUUUAGAAACUUGUACGCAUGCCAAGUGUUUGAUGAAAUGACUAGGUGAAUUUAGAAGGUGAAAUAGUAUGCAAGAAAGUGGUAAUUAGAUAUGGAAUGUGAUAAAGAGGUGUUUAUUAGUAAAUUAACAUGAGAAUUGAGUUUAGAUAUAGUUCAUUGCUAAGUAUGGAUUAUGGUGCAAAUGUAGAAUUAUGGAGGUUUCAAGUAUGGUGUGUACACGUAAACAAGUGAUCAUGCGAUUAAAUGAGCAUCUCACCAUGAGUGUACCACAUGCUGUUGAAAUGAUUAAUGGAAGUCGAAUGUGAAUUGUGAAUUAAUAUGGUUGUUCUCAUGUAUAAUUUCAUAUGCUAACAAGAAUGUGCGUGUAAUGAAACGAAAGUAUGUGUGAGUAAUUAUGUAUGCGUGUAUGAUUAUAUGAUUAUGUGGUUGUAAGUACAUUUGCAUCAUACGUAUGAAAUAUAUACAUAGUGUCAUAUGUAUAGCUUAAUAUGAUGUAACGAAUAUAUGGGGUUAAGUCGGAAGUUUAUACAUUAAACCGUUGACUUUUGGAAGUCAACUACACAUAAGGGGCAUAGCUAGAAUUUUGACACAAUUAUAAGAUCUUGGAACGUCAUAUGGUAUGUGUUAAAUUAAUAUGCGUUUUAUGCGUUAACAUGAUGGAUUGUAUGAGUUUGAAAAGAUGUGAUUUGGGCGUAUGCCUUAUGUUUGUUAGACUUGACUAUGAAAGCUAAUUGCGAGUUAUGCAUUCGACACGAUCAUUUAUAUGUAAAAUCGUGUAUACUAACAAGGAUGUGAUUGCGGUGACACGAAAGCAUUAGGGAUCAUGUGGAAAUGGACUCAAGCAAGAAAGACUAACGGGUCAAGAGGAGAUAAGGAAGCGAAUGCGAAGACGGACGCUCAAGGUACGAGAAUGUCGGCUUAGUUCGAGUUGAGAUCAAGGAUUGUACGGGGUAGAAAGGUCACAUAGUCUGACUCAUAUAGGUCUUGAAGUAUUAAUGUUAUAAAAAGUUGUAAAUCCGUUUUAAUGAUUAUAUGGCAUUUCGUACUCGAACCUUCAUGUGAUCGAUAUGCUUAAUUAAGAACGAAAUUUUUGG